CAGUCGCCACGGUAAUACGAAGGGUGCAAGCGUUACUCGGAAUUACUGGGCGUAAAGCGUGCGUAGGUGGUGGUUUAAGUCCGUUGUGAAAGCCCUGGGCUCAACCUGGGAAUUGCAGUGGAUACUGGGUCACUAGAGUGUGGUAGAGGAUAGUGAAAUUUCCGGUGUAGCAGUGAAAUGCGUAGAGAUCGGAAGGAACAUCUGUGGCGAAGGCGACUAUCUGGGCCAACACUGACACUGAGGCACGAAAGCGUGGGGAGCAAACAGGAUUAGAUACCCCAGUAGUCCCUGUCUCUUAUAC
RNAcentral lists this ribosomal RNA (301 nucleotides) under uncultured bacterium. RNAcentral describes it as "partial 16S ribosomal RNA". It matches the Rfam family "Bacterial small subunit ribosomal RNA", at positions 509 to 807 of the family's 1533-position model. The record is from RNAcentral.